GGGGACCCGGAGUGGUUCUGGGCAAAAUCCUUCAUCUUGGCUGAAUGAAAAAGAGAAAGAAAGAAAGAAAACAUGACUGGUCCUGGUUUUCGGCGCCAUGUGUAUGAGAAAAAGAAAUAAAAAGAAAGGAAGAGGACUGGUCCCAGGAGGAAAACCAAAUAGCCUUAGAACUCAUGGAAUUUGUCCCACCGGUUAGCACAACCACAUCAAGAGGCAGAACCCCGACUGUCCUGAGGACUUCUUGCUGUUGUGGAGUUUUGCUCUGCUCACCGUCUUCAAGAUCACCACAUCCCUCUUGAUUACUUCAGAAACCACAACCAACUGAAACCAACCAACAUCCCAUCAACAAUGACCAAGACCAACCGACAGUAGUCUUGCCUCUCUCAUGGUCCUAGCAUUUAUACACUCUCAGAACAGUUCCGAGGUUCCGAAUGUCAUAUCAUCACAGGACUAUCAACAGCUGACAAACCAUGCUUUUGCUAGAGCACAAAGCAAAUCAUACUCAGCUGCUGUAGAAUCUGAACUUAGAAAGAGUUGAGAAGGUAUUUGAAGAAAAGAUGGUUGGAAACACCCCACAGUUGGUGGAAGAUGUGAAUCCACAGACAUGCACAGAACCCUCUGUUCAACUCAAGUGCCCAGGAUAUACUCUUCAGGAUGGACGGCAUGACAAGCCAGGGAGUUUGAAAGAGUUGCGAGAUGCCUGGAAAGGUGAUAUGCUCUCCAGAAGCCCUCUGCAUGAAACCAUUCUCACUACAUGAAGGCUAUGAGCAGUUAGUCCGGACAGAGUUGGGCUCACUUAGAGGAAAACUGGUUGUCUCUAAGAGCUUGGCUAUGGAUCUGGGCUUGCAAGAGAAGCAGGGAGUCAUCUGGGAUGCACUUCAUAUUUCCCAAGGCAGUCUCCUGACCCUGCAUGGCUUUGUCCGGGGAGAUGAGGACCUGGAAGACAACAGCAUCCUUCUGGGGGAACUAGGCGCUGAGUUAAAGGGCUAUUAUAAACAAACUGCCCUAACACUAAAGCAUACACUUGUAAACCAUAGUGAUUCCCCUUCGAAAAUAGGUGUUAUAGUCAAGAUAAUGUACUUGGGUCAUAAGACAGUGUGUCUUUAUGAUUCAAGCUCAAAAAUACGUUACCCCCAAAAAUAUUAUCUGACAAUCAAGACAGUAAGGGACUUAGAGAAGGCUUUGCUGAAGUCCUGUGUAACAUGUGUAGCCUAACUCCUUCUUGCUGAUUGACCCGAUCCAGGGGUCAGUCAACGGGGUCUGCAAGGAUGAGAGUGGGGAUGGAGGGGCAAAAGACAGGAAGAAUGGAGACAAGACAGGCUAUCUGAUCAAGUCUUGUUUAUUGAAAGGCAACUAUGGGUAUAUAAGCACACACUGGGGACUGCAACUGGAGACACCUAGCCAAAAGUCCAGGAUGUGUUUAAGGAAAACAAGAUGUUAUCAGAGUGUAUUCAGCUAUGGUGAGCUUCUUACAAAAACCUCUAGUUCCUGUUCUUCUGUAACUCUUCAAAACAUAAAUUUAGGGUGGGUAUGGGGGACUUUUGGUAUAGCAUUGGAAAUGUAAAUGAGCUAAAUACCUAA
This 1581-nucleotide long non-coding RNA is filed under the name Mus musculus (house mouse). RNAcentral describes it as "novel transcript". Lineage: Eukaryota; Metazoa; Chordata; Mammalia; Rodentia; Muridae. The record is from RNAcentral.